This 301-nucleotide ribosomal RNA is filed under the name uncultured bacterium. Its description in RNAcentral is "partial 16S ribosomal RNA". It matches the Rfam family "Bacterial small subunit ribosomal RNA", at positions 509 to 809 of the family's 1533-position model. The record is from RNAcentral.
CAGCAGCCGCGGUAAUACGAAGGGUGCAAGCGUUACUCGGAAUUACUGGGCGUAAAGCGUGCGUAGGUGGUGGUUUAAGUCCGUUGUGAAAGCCCUGGGCUCAACCUGGGAAUUGCAGUGGAUACUGGGUCACUAGAGUGUGGUAGAGGAUAGUGGAAUUUCCGGUGUAGCAGUGAAAUGCGUAGAGAUCGGAAGGAACAUCUGUGGCGAAGGCGACUAUCUGGGCCAACACUGACACUGAGGCACGAAAGCGUGGGGAGCAAACAGGAUUAGAUACCCCCGUAGUCCCUGUAUCUUAUCC